GGAAGCUUUGGAUUGUCUUGUAGCGGAAUGGAUGCUAUAGCGACACGUUCAUUUUCCUUUUGUGAGGCAGUCUAUAUGGCUCCUUGCGUUUCCAAAAUCAACUCUGUGUGAUCCCCUUGUUUGCACCAUUCAAUUACCAACCGCCCCAGGCUGUUAACCACAAAUUGGUUAUUAGUUCAAGUGUUCCUUGUGUGACCACUGUUCGUAUAACCGAAC
Non-coding RNA from Pelobates cultripes (western spadefoot toad), 216 nucleotides. The record is from the annotation of a GenBank genome assembly. Lineage: Eukaryota; Metazoa; Chordata; Amphibia; Anura; Pelobatidae.